CUCUGUCUCUGUCUGGUGAGUGCAUACAUCCUAAUGCAAAAACCCUCAAAACAAAAACAAAAACCAUGGCGCCAUGCCUUGGCUCUGAAAGUGUCAGGAGCAUGACUCUGACCUGCGUUUCCUUGGGCUUGGCCUCCCCCUUCCUACAGAUGCGCCCACAGCCUGCACGAGCCACCUCCCCAGCUCCGCCGCUGCCCACCAGCCCUCCCUCUCUCCCCAUCUCCACCAGGCGUUCUUGUCAGCCCAGUUCUCAUCCUCCUCUCCUCUAGACUGCUUCCGAGACUUCAUUUCAUCUGCGAUUAUUGGUACCGACCAGGGCCAGGUUCCCCACACAAAUGGGUCAGGACUGCUCUCUCUCUGUCUCUGUCUCUCUCUUUCUGGCGAGCACAGGCACCCUAUAGCCAAAACCUCUACAGAAAAAAGAACCGUGGACAAAUUGUAGCAGCACAGACAGGUCCAGGAGAUGCGUGUGUGUUUCUGGAGUCCAACACUGAGGGGCCGGUAGACCACAGGGAAGGGGACCUGGCUUUCCAGGUAGUUUGAAAAACAGCCAUAGCAGCCCAGCUGGAGCUCCAACCCAGGGAAGGGCCGACGCAUGCCGUGAGCCCCCCUGUGGCAGGACACUGUCCUGCCCCAGCCCUGCCCCGUGUCCCCUGGCCUGCAGAGGCCCAGAGCACCCUCCUGCCACCCAUGGCCUGACCUCCUCUUCCUGACUCUGCGGCCACCUGCCCCGGGGUGACUCUUCCUCCUGUGGCCGACCGUGGCCCCCACACAGGUGCUGGUUUACAACCCUCCCUCGGAGGUGAGUGGGAGGCAGAGAGCCUGGUGCUGCCCCGUGGACAGGGCAUGGACCACGUGCCAGGCACAUGCCCACGAAGCAUGUAGACUUGAGCACCCCAUUUUCUAGAGAGAAACCAAGGCCCACAGCAGCCAACCUUGUUCCUGCCCAUCCACGCGGCCCUCGUCAGGCUGAGGGCUCUCCGCCCAGUGUGACUCCAGGAAAGCCCGGGGUCGAGGACCCGCCUGGGGUCAGCCCACUUCAGAGAUGGAAAGGAAUCGUAAUUCCGAAGCUUGCUCCCCAUUGUGGAAAAGAGGCUCAGCGUUUCUUAAUCUGAGUCCAUGUGCCCAGAUUUGGGGCGUGCACAGGACGAAAGCUGGGGGACAGAGAAGGCACUCAGAUGACGGGCGGGAGCCCUGAUCCCACAGGAGGCCGAAGCUGCCAGGCCAGCAUCCUUGGAAAUCCUGGUGGUUUCCGUAAUGACCCAGCAGGAGUGAGGAACACGCUCUCCUGAAAGGUCACCUAUCCGAGAGGGGACGCCUACCCAGCUCCCGCGGCCUGUCAUCUUCCGCGUUAAUUAAUAUCAAACGUGUGCACUCUUGG
Tupaia belangeri chinensis (Chinese tree shrew) is the source of this 1381-nucleotide long non-coding RNA. RefSeq lists it as uncharacterized. The transcript has 3 exons. Lineage: Eukaryota; Metazoa; Chordata; Mammalia; Scandentia; Tupaiidae. The record is from RefSeq and is a predicted model, not a curated record.